This 253-nucleotide ribosomal RNA is filed under the name uncultured bacterium. Its description in RNAcentral is "partial 16S ribosomal RNA". It matches the Rfam family "Bacterial small subunit ribosomal RNA", at positions 524 to 776 of the family's 1533-position model. The record is from RNAcentral.
UACGUAGGGUCCGAGCGUUGUCCGGAAUUAUUGGGCGUAAAGAGCUCGUAGGCGGUCUGUCGCGUCGGCUGUGAAAACCUGGGGCUCAACUCCAGGCCUGCAGUCGAUACGGGCAGACUAGAGUUCGGUAGGGGAGACUGGAAUUCCUGGUGUAGCGGUGAAAUGCGCAGAUAUCAGGAGGAACACCGGUGGCGAAGGCGGGUCUCUGGGCAACUACUGACGCUGAGGAGCGAAAGCGUGGGGAGCGAACAGG